ACUCCUACGGGAGGCAGCAGUGGGGAAUUUUGGACAAUGGGCGCAAGCCUGAUCCAGCCAUGCCGCGUGUCUGAAGAAGGCCUUCGGGUUGUAAAGGACUUUUGUCAGGGAAGAAAAGGCUGUUGUUAAUACCGACAGCUGAUGACGGUACCUGAAGAAUAAGCACCGGCUAACUACGUGCCAGCAGCCGCGGUAAUACGUAGGGUGCGAGCGUUAAUCGGAAUUACUGGGCGUAAAGCGAGCGCAGACGGUUACUUAAGCAGGAUGUGAAAUCCCCGGGCUCAACCUGGGAACUGCGUUCUGAACUGGGUGACUAGAGUGUGUCAGAGGGAGGUAGAAUUCCACGUGUAGCAGUGAAAUGCGUAGAGAUGUGGAGGAAUACCGAUGGCGAAGGCAGCCUCCUGGGAUAACACUGACGUUCAUGCUCGAAAGCGUGGGUAGCAAACAGGAUUAGAUACCCUGGUAGUCCACGCCCUAAACGAUGUCAAUUAGCUGUUGGGCAACUUGAUUGCUUAGUAGCGUAGCUAACGCGUGAAAUUGACCGCCUGGGGAGUACGGUCGCAAGAUUAAAACUCAAAGGAAUUGACGGGGACCCGCACAAGCGGUGGAUGAUGUGGAUUAAUUCGAUGCAACGCGAAGAACCUUACCUGGUCUUGACAUGUACGGAAUCCUCCAGAGACGGGGGAGUGCCUUCGGGAGCCGUAACACAGGUGCUGCAUGGCUGUCGUCAGCUCGUGUCGUGAGAUGUUGGGUUAAGUCCCGCAACGAGCGCAACCCUUGUCAUUAGUUGCCAUCAUUAAGUUGGGCACUCUAAUGAGACUGCCGGUGACAAGCCGGAGGAAGGUGGGGAUGACGUCAAGUCCUCAUGGCCCUUAUGACCAGGGCUUCACACGUCAUACAAUGGUCGGUACAGAGGGUAGCCAAGCCGCGAGGCGGAGCCAAUCUCACAAAACCGAUCGUAGUCCGGAUUGCACUCUGCAACUCGAGUGCAUGAAGUCGGAAUCGCUAGUAAUCGCAGGUCAGCAUACUGCGGUGAAUACGUUCCCGGGUCUUGUACACACCGCCCGUCACACCAUGGGAGUGGGGGAUA
Molecule: ribosomal RNA, 1090 nt
Filed under: Neisseria sp.
Lineage: Bacteria; Pseudomonadati; Pseudomonadota; Betaproteobacteria; Neisseriales; Neisseriaceae
Description: bacterial SSU rRNA
Rfam family: Bacterial small subunit ribosomal RNA
Source: RNAcentral